GCAAGAGUCUACUUUGUAAAAGCCACAAUAGUUUGAAUUGGUGUUUGUUAACGAAGAAUCUGAGGAAUAAAAUAAUUUGAAAAAAUAAUUACAAAUCAUGAAUGGCACAGAAGCAUGUACAUCGUGGAACGGUAUUGACUCAGAGGAGAUUGUUAUUUCUGGUAUCGCUGGCAGAUUUCCUGAUUCAGAUAACGUGAAUGAAUUACG
Wasmannia auropunctata (little fire ant) is the source of this 207-nucleotide long non-coding RNA. RefSeq lists it as uncharacterized. NCBI's taxonomy places the organism in Eukaryota, Metazoa, Arthropoda, Insecta, Hymenoptera, Formicidae. The transcript has 2 exons. The record is from RefSeq and is a predicted model, not a curated record.